CAGACUCCUACGGGAGGCAGCAGUGCUGAAUCAUUCGCCAAUGCGCGAAAGCGUGACGGUGCGACGCCGCGUGCGGGAUGAAGGCUUUCGGGUUGUAACCGCUGUCAGGACUUCGAAAACCGUAAUGGUUGAUAGCCAUUGCGCUGAUCCGGUCCAAAGGAAGCACAGGCUAAUCUCGUGCCAGCAGCCGCGGUAACACGAGAUGUGCGAGCGUUGUUCGGAAUUACUGGGCGUAAAGGGUGCGUAGGCGGUACGGUCAGUCAGAUGUGAAAUCCCUCGGCUCAACCGGGGAAUUGCAUUUGAUACUGCCGUGCUUGAGGUCGGAAGGGGCAAGCGGAAUUCCAGGUGUAGCGGUGGAAUGCGUAGAUAUCUGGGAGAACGCCAACGGCGAAGGCAGCUUGCUGGUCCGUACCUGACGCUGAGGCACGAAAGCUAGGGGAGCGAACAGGAUUAGAUACCCUGGUAGUCCUAGCCGUAAACGAUGGGCACUUUGUAUCGGGACCUCUGACGGUUUCGGUGCCGGAGCUAACGCGUUAAGUGCCCCGCCUGGGGAGUAUGGUCGCAAGGCUAAAACUCAAAGGAAUUGACGGGGGCUCACACAAGCGGUGGAGCAUGUUGUUUAAUUCGAAGCAACGCGAAGAACCUUACCAGGGCUUGACAUGCUAGUGGUACGACCUAGAGAUAGGAAGGACCUCCUUUUGGAGGAGCUAGCACAGGUGCUGCAUGGCUGUCGUCAGCUCGUGUCGUGAGACGUUGGGUUAAGUCCCGUAACGAGCGAAACCCCUGUCGUCUGU
RNAcentral lists this ribosomal RNA (794 nucleotides) under uncultured organism. Its description in RNAcentral is "bacterial SSU rRNA". It matches the Rfam family "Bacterial small subunit ribosomal RNA", at positions 332 to 1115 of the family's 1533-position model. The record is from RNAcentral.